RNAcentral lists this ribosomal RNA (311 nucleotides) under Heteropoda venatoria (giant crab spider). RNAcentral describes it as "partial 12S ribosomal RNA". The record is from RNAcentral. Lineage: Eukaryota; Metazoa; Arthropoda; Arachnida; Araneae; Sparassidae.
AAGUAGUAAAACUAAAAUAAACUUAAUUAUUUUGGCGGCAUUUAUCUAUUUAGAGGAACUUGUUCUUUAAUCGAUACUCCACGAUAAUUUUCACUUUAUUAUAAAGUUUAUAUACCGCCAUCCUCAAGGAUUAUUCUUCAUAAAUUUCCUUAAAAACAAAUAAAAAGUUAGGUCAAGGUGUAGCUAAAAACCAAGCAGAAAUGAGUUACUUUAAAAACUAUUUAAGGAUUAAAAUUUCAAAAUUCAAUAGAAAAAGAAUUUAUUAGUAAUAUUUAAAUAAUAAUUUUAUUUGAACUACUUAAUAAAUGUGC